CACGUAGGGUGCGAGCGUUGUCCGGAAUUAUUGGGCGUAAAGAGCUCGUAGGCGGUGUGUCGCGUCGGCCGUGAAAACCUGCAGCUUAACUGUGGGCGUGCGGUCGAUACGGGCAUCACUGGAGUUCGGCAGGGGAGACUGGAAUUCCUGUGUAGCGGUGAAAUGCGCAGAUAUCAGGAGGAACACCGGUGGCGAAGGCGGGUCUCUGGGCCGAUACUGACGCUGAGGUGCGAGAGCGUGGGGAGCGAACCGG
RNAcentral lists this ribosomal RNA (253 nucleotides) under uncultured bacterium. RNAcentral's name for it is "partial 16S ribosomal RNA". It matches the Rfam family "Bacterial small subunit ribosomal RNA", at positions 524 to 776 of the family's 1533-position model. The record is from RNAcentral.